GGCGCGUUCGUCUAGGGGUCUAGGACACCAGCCUCUCACGUUGGUAACACGGGUUCGAUUCCCGUACGCGCUA
RNAcentral lists this transfer RNA (73 nucleotides) under Candidatus Zixiibacteriota bacterium. RNAcentral describes it as "candidate division Zixibacteria bacterium tRNA-Glu". It matches the Rfam family "tRNA". From Rfam's summary of the family: Transfer RNA (tRNA) molecules are approximately 80 nucleotides in length. The record is from RNAcentral. Lineage: Bacteria; Pseudomonadati; Candidatus Zixiibacteriota.